RNAcentral lists this ribosomal RNA (536 nucleotides) under uncultured Gammaproteobacteria bacterium. RNAcentral describes it as "bacterial SSU rRNA". It matches the Rfam family "Bacterial small subunit ribosomal RNA", at positions 48 to 579 of the family's 1533-position model. Lineage: Bacteria; Pseudomonadati; Pseudomonadota; Gammaproteobacteria. The record is from RNAcentral.
CUAACACAUGCAGUCGAGCGGUAGAGAGAAGCUUGCUUCUCUUGAGAAGCGGCGGACGGGUGAGUAAUGCCUAGGAAUCUGCCUGGUAGUGGGGGAUAACGUUCGGAAACGGACGCUAAUACCGCAUACGUCCUACGGGAGAAAGCAGGGGACCUUCGGGCCUUGCGCUAUCAGAUGAGCCUAGGUCGGAUUAGCUAGUUGGUGAGGUAAUGGCUCACCAAGGCGACGAUCCGUAACUGGUCUGAGAGGAUGAUCAGUCACACUGGAACUGAGACACGGUCCAGACUCCUACGGGAGGCAGCAGUGGGGAAUAUUGGACAAUGGGCGAAAGCCUGAUCCAGCCAUGCCGCGUGUGUGAAGAAGGUCUUCGGAUUGUAAAGCACUUUAAGUUGGGAGGAAGGGCAUUAACCUAACACGUUAGUGUUUUGACGUUACCGACAGAAUAAGCACCGGCUAACUCUGUGCCAGCAGCCGCGGUAAUACAGAGGGUGCAAGCGUUAAUCGGAAUUACUGGGCGUAAAGCGCGCGUAGGUGGU